This 1017-nucleotide ribosomal RNA is filed under the name uncultured bacterium. RNAcentral's name for it is "bacterial SSU rRNA". It matches the Rfam family "Bacterial small subunit ribosomal RNA", at positions 27 to 1070 of the family's 1533-position model. The record is from RNAcentral.
GGAUGAACGUUGGCGGUGUGGCUAACAGUUGGAUCUCGAACGAUCCUUCGGGAGAGUGGCGCACGGGUGAGUAACACAUAGCUGACCCGCCUCGCAGGGUGGGAUAACGGCUCGAAAGAGCUGCUAAUACCGCAUAAGCUCACGGUCUUUAGAGGGCGGUGAGAAAAGGGGAAACCCGCUGGGAGAGGGGGCUGCGGCCCAUCAGCUAGUUGGCGCGGUAACGGCGCACCAAGGCGACGACGGGUAGGGGACCUGAGAGGGUGACCCCCCACACUGGGACUGAGACACGGCCCAGACUCCUACGGGAGGCAGCAGUGAGGAAUAUUGCACAAUGGGCGCAAGCCUGAUGCAGCGACGCCGCGUGGGUGACGAAGGUCUUCGGAUCGUAAAGCCCUUUUCUGCGUGACGAGGAACGGACGGUAGCGCAGGAAUAAGUCUCGGCUAACUACGUGCCAGCAGCCGCGGUAAAACGUAGGAGACAAACGUUAUCCGGAGUUACUGGGCGUAAAGGGCGUGCAGGCGGUUGAUUAAGUCUGGCGUGAAAGCACCCGGCUAAACCGGGCGAGGUCGUUGGAGACUGAUCAACUCGAGGACGGUGGAGGCGAGUGGAAUUCCGGGUGUAGUGGUGAAAUGCGUAGAGAUCCGGAGGAACACCAGUGGCGAAGGCGACUCGCUGGGCCGUACCUGACGCUAAGACGCGACAGCAUGGGGAGCGAACGGGAUUAGAAACCCCGGUAGUCCAUGCCGUAAACGAUGCCAGCUAGGUGUUCAGGGGCGCAAGCCUUCGGGGUACCGCAGCUAACGCGCUAAGCUGGCCGCCUGGGGAGUACGGUCGCAAGGCUAAAACUCAAAGGAAUUGACGGGGGCCCGCACAAGCAGCGGAGCGUGUGGUUUAAUUCGAGGCUACACGAAGAACUUUACCUGGGUUUGACAUCUACGUAGUAGGGAACCGAAAGGGGACCGACCUUCGGGAGCGUAGACAGAUGCUGCAUGACUGAUCGUCAGCUCGUGCCGUGA